This 3158-nucleotide long non-coding RNA is filed under the name Olea europaea subsp. europaea. Lineage: Eukaryota; Viridiplantae; Streptophyta; Magnoliopsida; Lamiales; Oleaceae. The record is from RNAcentral.
ACACCUUUAUUCAUCAGCAAAGGCCUUUAAUUAGGUCGUGCAUCAAACCGCUAUAAACAAAAAAUAAGAAGUCUAGAAACUAACUCCUAGAGAUUUAGACAAACAGUAGAGAAAUAACCUAGCGAACAAUACAUUAUAGUACAAUGACUCCUUUAAACUAUUUUUUUUAUAUUAACUAGUUUAAUAAUAAUUAUUCAUUCAGCAAACAUUGAGUAGUUUCCACAAUUUCAGAAAGAUCGAUGACUUAUGAGGCUUUGUGAAAUGUCAGCAAUUCGAUCUUCACUCCUGUAGUAGACGAGAUCACUCCUUCCUUUGUGAGAUCUCUUAGGAAAUAAUAUCUUCCACCUAUGUGUUUGCUUCAUCCAUGUAAAACUAGAUUUUUUGAUAGCUUGAUUGUUGAACCAUUGUCAAAAUAAAAUGUCGCAGCUUCCUCUUGCUUAAAAUACAGGCAUUCAAGAAUCUUUCUCAACCAAAUUGCUUGACAAGCACAGACUGUUGCGGCCACAAAUUCUGCUUCAAUUGUUGACAAGUAACAAUAACACGUUUCUCUGAAGACCAUAAAACAACUUUUGUUCCCAUCAUAAAUAUAUAUCUUGAAGAUUUCUUUAUGUCAUCUUGAUCUCUGGCAUAAUCACUAUUUGGUAAAGCAACACAAACAUGAUGUUUCUUUAUACUUAUAGAAAAGUCCAUAGUCACUUAUACCAUAAGUAUCUAAUAAUAUAUUUUGCAACCAAGAGGAAUUUUUGUUGGACAUUUCAUGUAUCUGUUGAUAAGACUGAUGAGCAUGAAUAUUAUCAGGCUUUAAUACUAUUAAAUACACGAGAGUUUCUAUAAUUUGCUUGUAGAGUGUGUUGUUGAUCUUUCUUCCUUUACAAUCUUUAUCAUGCUUUGUGCCUAUAAUUGUUAGUGUGCUGACAGGAUUGCAAUCUUUUCAUUCGAAAAACCUAUCUAAAAUUUCUUGUACAUAUUUUUUCGGAGAGAUAAAGAUACAGGAGUUGAUUGAUUCACUUUUAUGCAAGAAAACAAUGCAUCAUUUAAAGAUCGGUCAUCUCAAACUCAAUCAUUAUAAACUAUUUGAAUUUAUCAAACAAGAUCUUAUCGUUCCCGAUAUAGAUUAUCUCAUCAACAUAUAAACAAAACACAAGCAUCCUUUCUUAUUAAAAGGUUAUUUUAAUAAGGACAUUUUUGAAAUCAUUCCCUUAAGAAAAGGCUUCAAUUCUAUCAUACCAAAUCCGCAUGGAGCUUGCUUUUAGUCCAUACAAUACCUUUUUCCAUUUAGCACCUGUUUGAGCCACAUUAUUUUCAAAAAAAAUAUAUUUUUCAAUAGUGAUUUCACAUCAUUCCAACCACAUAUUCUUUAAUAAAAUAAUAUUAUACGCAAAUCUAAAACUUUUACUUAUUUUUUAACCACACAUUUUCCAUUAAUUUGACAUGAAUAAUAUAUUUUUUUCCUAGAAUGUGGCUCAAACGUGGGUUUAUACACUUUAUGCUAAUCACCAAUUUUGACAUGACUAGAGGGUUGAUCAAUAAAUACCUGCUCCUCCAAGUUUUCAUGCAAGAAGGUUGAUUUGAUAUCUAGUUGAAAGGUGGGGCAAUGAAUUUUGAGCUACUAGAGCAAUUACCAUUUUAAUUGUAUCACUUCUUGCAACAGGAGCGAAUAUUUCUUUAUAGUCUAUACCAAAUGCUUGCUUGUAUACUUUUGCAAUCAAUCGUUUUUUUGUACUUUUUUACUUCUCCAUUCUCUUUCAUCUUUGUUUUGAACACACAUUUCAAAUCAAUAAUUUUAUGUUUACUUGGGAGUUCAAUUAGUUCCCAAGUUUUGUUUCUUUGUAAGGCUACAAUUUCUUCGUCCGUUUCUUUCCUCCAUUUUGAUUGUUUGAUAGUAUCAUCAAAGCUUAUAGGAUCACAAUUCGAAAACGAGGCAAAGUCAAUGAGUAGGUCUUCAGAUUGGUUAACUCUUGUUACCUCAUAGUUAGCCUUCCAUGCAGGUCUUCUUCUGGACCAUUGUAAUUACUGCUUCGUCGCUGAUGUAAAUGGGGUUGAGGUGCUGUUACUAGCUCAUUCUGUAAAGCCCCGAAAAUUUUAUAGAGUAGAAUUAAUUGUUUUUUAUGCUAUAUUAUAUAUUUUUUGAAAGUUGAAGGGCAAAAAUGAAAUAUGAUUUAAAUUCAUAUAUUUUCCGGGUCAAAUAAUUAGAUUUUGAUAGAGCAGGUUAUAGUCUAUCAACAUUGGGCUCUUUUUGUAGCUUGUAAUUGAUUAGAAAUUCUCAACUCGAGAAAAAGUUAAUUCGUAUAAGUUAGAUCCAAGAUAUUGUAGUCUAGAAAGAUAUCAUUAAUUAGUUUUUUUCAUUGAAUUAAAUUUUGAGUUUAAGCGGGAGAUUUUUCUAUUUGGCCUAAUUUUAUAUCCUUUUAAUUUAUCCAUAGAAAAGUCUAUAUUGCCCUUAGUGAAAUAAUUCUUCUUAUAUUGCACAAUAUAUCCCAACUUUUUGAACCAUAUUCUAUUUUGAAUUUUUGAAUAUAAAUCAAUUCUGUGAUCUAAUAAAUUGGAAUAAUCUGCAAUAUAUUGUUCAUAUUUUUUAUUUAAUAUAUUAUAUUCUUUAGAUGAUAAAUUUGUAUUUUUUAAUUGAGAAAUAAUAUUUUUUAUUUCUUCUAACAUUCUUGCUAAUAGAUUAUCUAAUCCUUCAAUUGUAUAUCCUGACAUUCAUCAUAUAAAUAAUCUCUACGAUUCUCUAAGAUCUUAAAAAGAUUCGUUCAAAUUUUAGCACAAAUUAAUAGUCUUACCUUAUUUCUGACCUAAAUCUUUGAACUGAGUGACCUUCGAGUUCUGAAUAUGUAAACUGCUUCCUUCAACGACCUCUUGCCUUCACGGAAUUUUUACUAUUUCAGCUUCUUACUCUCCCUGUAUCAAUAUUAAAAAAUAAAUCUCUAGAUUUCGAUUAAAGAAAAACUCUCUUUUUACUAAAAUAAGCAAGAAACUUUCUAUUAGGUCCUUUAAGAAUCUAUGAGAAAAAGAUUUAGAAACUCAUAUUGAUAUCAAAAUAUUGGAAUUUUAUUUCUAUAGAGAUAUAUACAAGAUUUCUAUUUGAUACAAAAAGAUUUUCAAAAAAAACUGGUUUUUCAAACUGAUGAUGGCUUGAGAGUAGCUAUUGAUUACAAUUCGAG